RNAcentral lists this ribosomal RNA (432 nucleotides) under uncultured bacterium. Its description in RNAcentral is "partial 16S ribosomal RNA". It matches the Rfam family "Bacterial small subunit ribosomal RNA", at positions 29 to 506 of the family's 1533-position model. The record is from RNAcentral.
AACGAACGCUGGCGGCAUGCCUAACACAUGCAAGUCGAACGAGACCUUCGGGUCUAGUGGCGCACGGGUGCGUAACGCGUGGGAACCUGCCCUUAGGUUCGGAAUAACUCCCCGAAAGGGGUGCUAAUACCGGAUAAUGUCUUCGGACCAAAGAUUUAUCGCCUUUGGAUGGGCCCGCGUUGGAUUAGCUAGUUGGUAGGGUAAAAGCCUACCAAGGCGACGAUCCAUAGCUGGUCUGAGAGGAUGAUCAGCCACACUGGGACUGGGACACGGCCCAGACUCCUACGGGAGGCAGCAGUGGGGAAUAUUGGACAGUGGGCGAAAGCCUGAUCCAGCAAUGCCGCGUGAGUGAUGAAGGGCUUAGGGUUGUAAAGCUCUUUUACCCGGGAUGAUAAUGACAGUACCGGGAGAAUAAGCUCCGGCUAACUCCGU